GGUGGAGUGGUGGAGUGGUUAGCACACCCGACCGGACAUUGGGAGACCCAGAGUCCAAAUCUUGGCUCCGCCG
Molecule: non-coding RNA, 73 nt
Organism: Ixodes scapularis (black-legged tick)
Lineage: Eukaryota; Metazoa; Arthropoda; Arachnida; Ixodida; Ixodidae
Source: Rfam